This is an RNA transcript of Pipistrellus kuhlii (Kuhl's pipistrelle), 5290 nucleotides long. It is a transcript of the gene named PPARG related coactivator 1, with no coding region annotated. The transcript has 14 exons. The record is from RefSeq and is a predicted model, not a curated record. NCBI's taxonomy places the organism in Eukaryota, Metazoa, Chordata, Mammalia, Chiroptera, Vespertilionidae.
CUCGGAGGCGGUGCCGGCUAUCAGAGCUGCGCUGGGCGUUUAGGGGCCAAGAUGGCGGCGCGCCGGGGACGGAGAGACCGAGUGGUGCCGCCUCCAAAUGGGGGCCCCGGCCCCGACCCUGGCGGUGGAGUCCGCGGCAGCAGUCGCGGGGGUCGCAGCCUAGCGCCGUAUGAGACCGUGAGCGCUGUGAGCGGCGGGGAGCAGGUGUUACUGCAUGAAGAGGUGGAUGAUUCUGGCAUUGUCAGUCUUUCUCGGCUGGCCCCCUGUCUGAAGGACAAGGAUUUGGAGAUGGAGGAGCUGUUGCUGCAGGAUGAGACACUGCUGGGAACCAUGCAGAGCUACAUGGAUGCUUCCCUCAUCUCCCUCAUUGAAGAUUUUGGGAGCCUUGGAGAGAGCAGAUUAUCUCUGGAGGACCAGAAUGAAGUGUCAUUACUCACAGCUCUGACGGAGAUCUUGGACAAUGCAGAUUCCGAGAACAUGUCUCCAUUUGACAGCAUUCCUGACUCUGAGCUACUUGCGUCACCUCGGGAGGGCUCCUCUCUACACAAGCUGCUCACUCUCUCUCGGACACCCUCAGAACGUGACCUCAUCACUUCAGUUGAUCCACUGGGGCCCACUACAGGCAAUAGUAGAGUGAGUGGGGUUGAGAUGUCUCUCGCAGAUCCCUCUUGGGACUUCUCCCAUUCCUUCUUGGAGACCUCCUCCCCCAAACUUCCUAGCUGGAGACCCCCAAGAUCCAGACCCCGCAGAAGCCAGUCUCCUUCUCCCCAACAGCGUAGUGAUGGGGAAGAAGAGGAGGAGGUGGCCAGCUUCAGCGGCCAGAUGCUUGCUGUGGAGCAUGGCAACUCAAUGAGCAGCAUCUCAGACUUUCCCAUGCACCUGGCCUGCCCAGAGGAAGAAGAUCAAACAGCAGCCGCAGGUAUGGCAGUGCAGACAGCUGGUGACGAGAGCAUCUCUUCCCUGAGUGAGUUGGUGCGGGCCAUGCACCCCUACUGCCUGCCCAACUUCACCCACCUGACGUCACUCAACAAUGAACUUCAAGAGCAGCCAGAUGAUUUGACAUUGCCUGAGGAUUGUGUGGUGCUGGAGAUAGUGGGCCAGGCAGCCACAGCUGGCAAUGACCUGGAGAUCCCAGUUGUGGUGCGGCAGAUCCCUACUGGACCCCAGCCUGUGCUCCUGGAUGACUCACUAGAGGCCAGGCCAGCCUUGCAACUGCUCCUGCCUACACUUGAGUCAGAGACAGAGGCUGCUGUGGCCAAGGAAGCCCUCUGCCUUGAGAAAGAAGGGCUGUCACUGGACUCAGGGGAAAAGCUGGAGUCAGCCUUGUUGGAGCCCAAGGAAGUCAAGGAGCCAGUGGUGCCCAAGGGGCCUCAGAACCCACCAGCCAAUGCAGUGCUGAGUUCCCAGAGAGCUCGAAAGGGCAGGAGGAAGAAGAACAAGAAACAGCCAGCAGCCUCUACAGAAGGCUAUGCCCGGAGACUGAGGUCAUCCUCUUGUGGGCAGCCUACUGUGGCUACAGAGGUGGACUCUCAAGCAGGCAGUUUGCCUCAGGAGGAACUUCAAAGAGAGGUUGGGCCUCCCCAUGGUAGAGGGAAGCCCCGGGCUUGGGCUUGGGCCUGGGCGAGUACCUUGGAGAAGCCUAGCUCUGAGAACUUGGAGAGUAAUGCUGGACAAGCUAGUCCUGCUAAAGAAGGUCCUCUUGACCUCUACCCCAACCUGGGUGACACCAGCGAAGUUAACCCUGUUCCAACCCAUAGCACAUUGGUUGACUCUGCUCAUGCCGACCCCACGUCACUGGAUUCUGUUGAAGCUGAUCCCUCUGCAAUUGAUCCUGCUCUAGGUGACCCUGUACCUGUUGAUCCUGCAUUGGUUGACCUUGCUUCAGCCAACUCAGGGCUGGUUGACCCUCUUCCAGCUGACCAAGUGUUGAUCAAGCCAGUCCUGGCUGACUCUCCAGCAGUUGACCCUGCAGUGAUUGUUCCUAUCUCAGAUGACUUGCCACCAGUUGACCCUGUCUCUACCAACUUAGCACCAGUUGACUUUGUUCCCAAUGACCUGGCUCCAGUUAACCCUGUGCUAGUUAAGUCUAGGCCAACUGACCCCAGACGUGGUGCAGUGUCAUCAGCCCAGGGGAGUCCAGCCCCCCAGCUCCAGUCAGAGUCCUUGGACCCCCCAAAGGUCAUCAUCUCUAAAGUCAAGGAGAGUGUGGGUCCUCUGAAGGAAGGUGAUACCAAUACCACAACCCAGGAAACCAGACCUCGGCCUCUUAGUCUAUCUGAGUACCGGCGACGAAGGCAGCAGCGCCAAGCAGAGGCAGAAGAAAGGAGUUCCCAGCUCCCGUCUGGGAAGUGGCCCAGCCUCCCAGAAACCCCCACAGGGCUAGCAGACAUCCCUUGUCUUGUCAUCCCACCAGCCCCAGUCAAGAAGACAUCUCUGCAGAGAAGCCCUGAGACUUGCUUUGUGCCUGUGGGUGGUCCCAGUCCUGCUUCUCCUAGUCCAGAGCCACCUACAAGCAAAUCUGUAGCCUCAACUCCCACUGAGCAGGUUCCAUCCCAAGAGAUGCCACUCCUAGCAAGACCUCCACCUCCUGCUGUGCAGUCCAUGCCUCCCACAAUGCCCCCUGCUGUGCCUUUUCCACCAGCUGGGCUGGGCAUGCCUCCCAUGCUGCCCCCACCACCCUUGCAGCCUCCUAGUCUUCCAAUGUCUGUGGGGCCAGUGCCACCUGAUCCCUAUACACAUUAUGCCCCCAUGCCACCCUGGCCUUGUUAUCCCCCAGUAUCUCCUGGCUAUCCUUGUUUGCUGCCCCCACCAACAGUGCCCAUAGUGUCUGGUACCCCUGGCGCCUAUGCUGUUCCCCCUACUUGCAAUGUGCCUUGGGUACCCCCUCCUGCCCCAGUCCCGCCUUACAACUCUAGCUGUACUUAUGGGCCCGUGGGGUGGGGUGCAGGACUGCAACACCCUCCAUUCUGGCCUACUGUGCCCCCACCACCUUUGCCUCUAGCCUCUGUUGGGAGAGCUGUUCCCCCACCCAAGGUGGAGUCCAGUGGCAUCCCAGUUGGUCCUCCUGAAAGUUUACCUCCCGUACCAAUGGCUCCUCCCCUCACUCUGGGGUCAGCUGGCCAAGGAGCUCCACAGAUAGAGCCCACCAAGGUGGAGGUCAAACCAGUCCCUGCUUCUCCCCAUCUGAAACACAAGGUAUCCUCCCCGGUGCAAAGCCCACAGAACAAGGUUUCACCCUGUCUGUCUGCUGAGAGUGUGGCUGUUGAGGAGCCUGCAGCAGAGAGGUUAAAACUUGAGACCCAGGAGACCAAGUCCAGGGAGAAGACCCCCUCUCCUGUUGCCAAGACUGUUCCCACACCAAAGCAGAGCACUAUCACUAAGUUGCCUGCUGUCCACCCAGCCCGUCUAAGGAAACUGUCCUUCUUGCCUACCCCACGUAUCCAGGAUCCUGAGGAUGUGGUACAGGCUUUCAUCAGUGAGAUUGGAAUUGAGGCAUCGGACCUGUCCAGUCUACUGGAGCAGUUUGAGAAAUCAGAAGCCAAAAAGGAGUGCCCUCCCCCGGCUCCUGCUGACAACUUGGCUGUAGGAAACUCAGGCAGCGUUGACCCUCCCCAGGAGAAGAGGCCCCUAGACCGGUUACAAGCCCCAGAACUGGCCAACGUGGCAGGGCUCACCCCUCCAGCUACCCCUCCCCACCAGUUAUGGAAGCCCUUGGCUGCCGUUUCCCUGCUGGCCAAAGUCAAAUCUCCUAAGUCCAUCGUUCAGGAGGGAACCCUGAAGCCUGAAGGAGUUACAGAGGCCAAACAUCCAGCUGCAGCCCGCCUCCAAGAAGGGGUCCAUGGCUCUAGUCCGGUCCAUGUGGGCUCUGGGGACCAUGACUAUUGUGUCCGGAGCAGGAGCCCCCCAAAAAAGACUCCUGCUCUAGUCUUUCCAGAGGCAGGCUCCCGAUGGAACGUCAAACGCCAUCAGGACAUCACCAUCAAACCUGUCUUGUCCCUGGGCCCAGUCGCCCCUCUUCCUCCAGGCACAGCUGCCUCCCAGGAGCCACUUGAUCACAGGACUAGCAAAGAGCAGGCCGAUCUCCCAGCCCCUUGCCUUGCCCCAUCCGCCUUGCUGUCCCCUGAGGCCUCGCCCUGCCGGAAUGACGUGAACACUAGGACUCCCUCUGAGCCCUCAGCCAAGCGGUCAGUGCGCUGUUACCGAAAAGCCUGCAGGUCACCUAGCCCCCCAAACCGGGGCUGGCAGGGCCGCCGUGGCCGCAGCAGUUCUGUCAGCUCUGGGUCCAACCGGACCAGCGAAGCAUCUUCCUCCUCAUCCUCAUCGUCGUCUUCAUCCCGGUCCCGGUCCCGGUCCCUCUCCCCCCCACACAAGAGGUGGCGAAGGUCCAGUUGUAGUUCCUCUGGAUGUUCCCGGAGAUGCUCUUCCUCUUCAUCAUCUUCCUCCUCAUCUUCCUCAUCCUCAUCAUCUAGUUCCCGAAGCCGGUCCCGCUCCCCAUCCCCCCGCCGGAGAAGUGACAGGAGACGGCGGUACAGCUCUUAUCGGUCACAUGACCAUUACCAAAGGCAGAGAGUGCUGCAGAAGGAGCGUGCAAUAGAAGAGAGAAGAGUGGUCUUCAUUGGGAAGAUACCUGGCCGCAUGACUCGGUCAGAGCUGAAACAGAGGUUCUCUGUUUUUGGAGAGAUUGAGGAAUGCACCAUCCACUUCCGUGUCCAAGGCCAGUCUCUGCCUCACCCACCAGUGACAACUAUGGCUUCGUUACUUACCGCUAUGCUGAGGAGGCAUUUGCAGCCAUCGAAAGUGGCCACAAGCUGAGACAGGCAGAUGAGCAGCCCUUUGAUCUCUGCUUUGGGGGCCGCAGGCAGUUCUGCAAGAGAAGCUACUCUGAUCUUGACUCCAACUGGGAAGACUUUGACCCUGCUCCUGUAAAGAGCAAAUUUGAUUCUCUUGACUUUGACACAUUAUUGAAACAGGCCCAGAAGAACCUCAGGAGGUAACCCUGGGCCCUUCUCCCCCUGCCCCCCUUUUUUUGGAGGUGUCCAAUCAUCUCCAACCCCCUCCCCAACUCCAGGGGAGAGAGCUGCUAGUGAGAUGACUUUUAUAAAGAAAUGGAAAAAGUGAAAUAAAAAAAUGUGUUAAAUCAGAUUUUUUAAAAGGGUAUUUGUUUUUAUAACAGGCAUUUAAACAAGUUAAUUUGCAUUCCUAUUUGAAAUAGAUGACUUUGAGGGAUUCCCCCUGUGUUUGGAUUAUUGAAGUCACUAUGCAGACUAAUAAAUAUAAACUAGAGAAAACA